Molecule: ribosomal RNA, 237 nt
Filed under: uncultured bacterium
Lineage: Bacteria
Description: partial 16S ribosomal RNA
Rfam family: Bacterial small subunit ribosomal RNA
Source: RNAcentral
AGUGGCGGACGGGUGAGUAAUGUCUGGGAAACUGCCCGAUGGAGGGGGAUAACUACUGGAAACGGUAGCUAAUACCGCAUAACGUCGCAAGACCAAAGAGGGGGACCUUCGGGCCUCUUGCCAUCGGAUGUGCCCAGAUGGGAUUAGCUAGUAGGUGGGGUAACGGCUCACCUAGGCGACGAUCCCUAGCUGGUCUGAGAGGAUGACCAGCCACACUGGAACUGAGACACGGUCCAG